Long non-coding RNA from Callithrix jacchus (white-tufted-ear marmoset), 689 nucleotides. RefSeq lists it as uncharacterized. Lineage: Eukaryota; Metazoa; Chordata; Mammalia; Primates; Cebidae. The record is from RefSeq and is a predicted model, not a curated record.
GUCUAGAAGCUAGAACAGCCCGGAGGAAUUCAUUAUUCUGGGGAAAGCCAGACCUCUGUUUAUGCAGGCGCCGUGUACAAGGGUGCCCCCUACUGAGUGUGGCUGAAUAUCUGCCCGACUCCCACAGCCAAGUCUGUGACCUGACCUGGCCAAGGGCUGCCUGCCGCGACUCAGGCAGGUUCCUGACUUUUCACUGUUUUGCCCAAAGACCGGGUCUAAGCUGUGCGCCCUAGGGUUGCAUCUACCAGAAGAGGGCGCCUCCCUCCAAUGGCACAAAGACUCCCUCCAGGUCGGCGGCCGUCGCGGGCGGGGGAGGAUCCACAGCGGAAAGCCCGGGAUGCCCAGGUCCCCAGACUUUCUCUUGUUCUGUUGUCCCUGUGACACUGGAAAGGCUGAAAUUUUUUCCUACUGUAGAGGAAAACAAGCCUUCAGUGACAUUGCUGGCUUUCUGCCUUCCCAUGGGGAUUAAAGCCUCAUCUUGUGUCUUCAGCGUGAGAAAUGUGGCAUCCUUACAUACACAGGAAGGUUAAAGGACCAGAACACAAUCCACAGGAGCCUCAGCCCUGUUCUUCCUGACCCUACCUCCUGAGGAGGCCACAGCUACCAGGAUAAGGGAGUCCUCACGCCCCGCAGGCUCUUCUGAGUACUGAAGUUUCUCCGUCACAGAGCCCAGAAUGUCCUGCACAGAU